RNAcentral lists this ribosomal RNA (563 nucleotides) under uncultured fungus. RNAcentral describes it as "eukaryotic LSU rRNA". The stretch from base 199 to 352 matches the Rfam family "5.8S ribosomal RNA". The record is from RNAcentral. Lineage: Eukaryota; Fungi.
AGUAAAAGUCGUAACAAGGUCUCCGUAGGUGAACCUGCGGAGGGAUCAUUACCGAGCUCGGGCUACCCGCCCGACCUCCCAACCUUUCUGCCGUCUCCGACCGCGUUGCCUCGGGGGUCCCGCCGUCCUGCGGCGGCCCCCAGAGGACCACAUAACACUGCGUAACCGUCGUCCGAGUAACAACGAAAUUUGAAACACAACUUUCAACAACGGAUCUCUUGGCUCUGGCAUCGAUGAAGAACGCAGCGAAAUGCGAUAAGUAAUGUGAAUUGCAGAAUUCCGUGAAUCAUCGAAUCUUUGAACGCACAUUGCGCCCCUCGGUAUUCAGGGGGGCAUGCCUGUUCGAGCGUCAUUACGCCACUCAAGCCUCGGCUUGGUCUUGGGCGUCGCGGUCUCCCCGCGUGCCUCAAUGUCGCCGGCUGGUGCGUCCGUCUCUAAGCGUUGUGAAUCAACAGUCGCUCCGGAGGUCGGACGGAACCGCGCCGUCAAGCCUUUUUUCUAUAGGUUGACCUCGGAUCAGGUAGGGAUACCCGCUGAACUUAAGCAUAUCAAUAAGCGGAGGA